GAUGGGUAACAACUAACUAAAAGUUACAAAGUUAGGCAAAAAACUUACCGAGGUUGAUCGGUCAUCUUCAAACAAGAGAAGAGUAAUUCUCUAAUAUGUUAAUGUGAAUGAGAAGUACCAUAUGAAUUUAGAAAAAGAGAAGAGUAACAACUAACAAACAUGGAGAAAGGGCAUAGAGAUGAGAACCUCAAAAAUAAUAGAUUGUGUUUCCUCUGUCCCAAUAUAACAGCUUCCAUUUCCUCUGUCCCAAACCCAAU
This 257-nucleotide long non-coding RNA is filed under the name Panax ginseng (ginseng). Its description in RNAcentral is "long non-coding RNA (PGIN_LNC016523)". The record is from RNAcentral. Lineage: Eukaryota; Viridiplantae; Streptophyta; Magnoliopsida; Apiales; Araliaceae.